Planctomycetes bacterium SCN 63-9 is the source of this 176-nucleotide non-coding RNA. The record is from Rfam. NCBI's taxonomy places the organism in Bacteria, Pseudomonadati, Planctomycetota.
CCCAUCGCGAGAUGGGAUCUGAAGGAAGCCGAUGCCCCUGAACUCGGACUCGACGAACAGAAACCGGAUAUGAGGCCGGCGUGGUGGGGUAACCCGGCAAUGGACGGGGACGCCCGAUCGUCAUCCGGACACGCACGCGGGUAGAUCCGGCGAGGGCCGAGCGAAAUCCACACGAC